GUCAACAAAAGAGAUAUAUAUCAUAUCAACAAAUGGCAAUCUUCCUUGUGUUUUUGAUUUUUGCUUCAGGUAUGAUAAACUUUCCUCAAGGAACAUAUGCCGAUUGUCAAUGUCAUAAAUUGAGAGAUUGUCCCCAACUUAAAUGCCCUACAUUUGCUUUUCCUGUGUGUAUGUUGUGCCAAUGUACAUGUUUUGGUCGGGAAGCAUGGAGAAAGCAGAUGACUCUUGGUACCAAUAAAGCAACUAACGCUGAUGUUGGCAAAACUCAACAACAUCUACAAGUCAAAUCCUAGUAGGCAUGUUAAGUUUUGUGAAUUGAUCUGUUGCAAACAUAAGAUUAAAUAAAAAUUUAUGUUUUCAUCUAUCAGCAGA
Molecule: long non-coding RNA, 372 nt
Organism: Cynara cardunculus var. scolymus (artichoke)
Lineage: Eukaryota; Viridiplantae; Streptophyta; Magnoliopsida; Asterales; Asteraceae
Exons: 2
Source: RefSeq, a predicted model, not a curated record